This is an RNA transcript of Mus musculus (house mouse), 7069 nucleotides long. It is a transcript of the gene named TATA-box binding protein associated factor, RNA polymerase I, A, with no coding region annotated. The record is from RefSeq and is marked validated. NCBI's taxonomy places the organism in Eukaryota, Metazoa, Chordata, Mammalia, Rodentia, Muridae. The transcript has 12 exons.
UGCGCACUACCUGAAUGCCCACCAGGCUGGUUCUGCGCAAGCUCCCAGGAAGCGCUCGUUAACUGCUUCCGGACAGGGUUUUCCGGGGCGGCGAACAACGUGGAGUCGGGCGACUCUGGAGCUUGGAUUUAGCGGCUCGCGGGCUCCGUACGCCUUGCGCUUUCAGUGAAACAGGAAAAGGUGUGUGAGCCUCCUGCUUGUUCCUUCUGCGGUUUCCUCUUGACUUUGUGCUCCUGGGCUCUGAGACCAUGAUGAGUGAUUUCGGUGAAGAGUUGACAAAGCUGGCUGUGGCAGAGGAUAACCCAGAAACGUCGGUGCUCUCUAAAACGGGAAUGCAUUUCCCAUGGCUUCACAAGCACGUUGAAGCUGUAGUGACUGGAGGGAAGAAGAGGAAGGAUUUUGCUCAGACGACAAGUGCUUGUUUAAGCUUUAUCCAGGAAGCCCUGCUGAAGCACCAGUGGCAGCAAGCUGCAGAGUAUAUGCACAGUUACCUGCAGACCCUGGAGGACUCAGACACCGACAAGAGACAGGCUGCCCCUGAGAUCAUUUGGAAGCUUGGAAGUGAAAUUCUAUUUUACCACCCCAAAAGCAAUGUGGAGACUUUUAAUAGCUUCGCUGACCGGAUGAAAAAUAUUGGUGUCUUGAAUUAUUUAAAGAUCUCCUUACAACACGCCUUGUAUCUUUUACAUCAUGGAAUGCUUGAUGAUGCGAACAGGAACCUGAGUAAGGCAGAGACGUGGAGGUAUGGAGAAAAGUCGUCUUCUCAGGAAGUGUUGAUCAACCUUGUUCAGGCUUACAAAGGGCUUCUGCAGUACUACACUUGGACCAGAAAGAAGAUGGAGUUGUCAAAGCUUGAUGAAGAUGAUUACGCUUACGCCGCCAAAACCCGAACCAUGCUCAGCCAGAGCUGCAAGACGUCUACAAAUAUCUGUGCACUGGUCAAAACCCCCGGGGUCUGGGAUCCUUUUGUGAAGAGUUAUGUGGAGAUGCUGGAGUUCUAUGGUGAUCAAGAUGGAGCCCGAGAGAUGCUCACCAAUUAUGCAUAUGAUGAGAAGUUCCCGUCGAACCCCAACGCCCACGUCUACUUAUACGAGUUUCUCAAGAGAGAGAAGGCACCGAGGGCGAAGCUCAUAAGUGUUCUUAAGAUUUUACAUGAGAUUGUGCCAUCCCAUACACUAAUGUUAGAAUUCCAUACAUUGCUUAGAAAAUCAGACACAGAAGAACACCAGAAACUGGGCUUGUCUGUGUUAUUUGAAGUCCUGGACUUCGCUGGAUGCAAUAAGAACAUAACGGCCUGGAAAUACUUGGCAAAGUAUCUGAAGCAGAUAUUAGUGGGAAGCCAUCACGAGUGGGUUGAAGAAGAGUGGAAGUCUAGGAGGAACUGGUGGCCAGCUUUUCACUUCAGCUUCUUUUGGGCGAAGAGUGACUGGAAGGCAGACACUGACUUGGCUUGUGAGAAAGCUUUUGUGGCAGGGGUCCUUUUAGGAAAAGGUUGUAAAUAUUUUCGGUAUAUUUUAAAACAAGAUCAUGAAACCUUGAAGAAGAAAAUCAAGCGAAUGAAGAAGUCUGUGAAAAAAUACACUAUUGUAAAUCCAGGUGUUCACACCUAGAUUUUAACUUAUUUUACAGUUAUCGCUACAGUGUAGUGGUUCAUUUACACAUACACGCACUUGUGCACAUGCGCAUGUGGAAGCUAGAAGUCAGCUGUGUCACUCGCUGCAGGAGCCUGGCUUUGAGACCCUCACUGAGACCUGGAGGAGGCGCUCGGCCUCCCUCCCACCUGUUUGUUCCUCCACCAGCUUCAUUUCCACACCCCACAGCUACUAAUGGGUGCUGUUGAGUGGGGGGUAGAGAGUCGAGGAGGAGGAGGAGGUGACACCAUGUGACUCUCCAGUCCUUUGACUCUAGAGGACUGAUUUGAGUCAGAGUGCUAGAAGAGAUGUGGUUGACCUUAAAGGCGUGGUGUGCUAGGAUACUUGGAUGUUCCCUCAGAAAUGAGAAUCCAGCUGGGCGGUGGUGGCGCACGUCUUUAAUCCCAGGAGGCAGAGGCAGGCAGAUUUCUGAGUUUGAGGCCAGCCUGGUCUACAGAGUGAGUUCCAGAACAGCCAGGGCUACACAGAGAAAGCCCGUCUCAAAAAGAAACAAAGCAAAACAACAAAAAAAGGAGGCUCCAACAGUAGCAUCUCUAUCCAUGAAGUAGCGUCCUGCAGGCACUGAGUAAGUAAGCACAGCGGGACAGCUUCCCAAGGCCAGAGACACCCUGGGCUCUGUAGCUCAUGUGCUGAUGGGUGCUUCUAGAGAAUGACCUUGGCUGCCUUGUAGUUAUUGUUAAAGUACUUGGAUUCCAGGAAGGCUCACUGGGGCUCAGGAGACAAACCACACAUUUCCUCAUUGGCUUAUAGCCCUACUAGCUUUAAAUAAUGAACAAUAAAAGUGGAAAAGUUGUGCUUUGUGAUAAUUUUUAGUAGUAUUUUAUUCUUGGGAAAGGGUAUCGAGAAAUAACUUCAUCCAGAGCAAACGAAGCAAGUGGGUGUCUGUCUCAAGCACCAUUCUAAGCCAAGCUGGAGUUCCCACAUUGAAAGGACCAGCUUCUCUGAGUGGGUGGUUGGAUUGUGUGGAGCUCUGUAAGAGUAACACCGUAGGAGUAAACGUUCAAACCUCACAGCACAGGCCAGGGUCAGCAGGACCCGGCUCUGGAAUCCUAAGUUAGGGUUUGUGCAUCCUUGUGCUUUUGAGGACCUUGCAGGGGAGCUGAGUAGCUGUGGUUCUACACAAAGCUUUGCUGUUCUAGAACUUUGUUUUUGUUGUUAGUUUGGUUUUGUUUUGCUUUUGUUUUUAGACAAAGUCUGCCUGGGUAGACACGGCUGUUCUUAAACUCAUGAUCUUCUCCUUCAGCUGUUACAUGUGCAGGCUGCCACAGCUAGUUUUCUUGCCUAGAAUUUUCAUAUCGUGCGUCCAGUUAGAAGACUGUGAUCUAAGCCCUGUGGGAAGUAUUUGAUGUUGACUGGGCCCAAGCCAGGGCCAUGAGCAGAACUGGCCAGGCGUCUUACUCAGGCACUCUCCUGGUUCUUCAGACCAUCCCACUCCUCCUGACUGAGAAGGUGAAGUUAGCAGAGAUGAGGAACCUCUCCAGGGUCAGGCCCUAACCACAGCAGACUGGUUCUGAAGGCACCAUGCAGACCCCUCCUCUGUUGCCUACCUAGCUCCAUGUGAAGCACCAAGCUGGGUAGCUAGGGUCAGAAGAGAGGACCCACAGCCCUGAGGUCAUUGGCCCAAGCGAAGUAGGUCAGUUCUCUCUCCCAGGCUUUUGGUAGGGUCCUCUCUGUGUCCCAGGAGCCAUUUGUGUAGUAUGCUAUUGACACAUAAACAUCUUUGUAUUACCUCCACCUGACAGUGUCUGCUCUAGAUAAUCACUGAGUUGAUGUAAACACAAAUGUGUGAAAGUGACUGAGGGUGUCAACCCUCUGGGAAACAGCAAGCCUGUGCCAAGAGCCAGGGACCUGGUAGGCUAGUGAUGAGACGUGUGACUGAGGCAACUUAUAAAAGAACAUUUAAUUAGGGGUUCCAGAGAGUCCAUAAUCGUCAUGGCAGGAACCAUGGAGGCAGACAGGCAGGCAUGGUGUUUAGUUCAGAUGCUCGAAGCUUACUGGUGGCAUAAACAGGUGGCAGAGAGCCAUAGAUCAGGAGAGACUGGGCCUGAUGUGGGUUUUUUGAAAUCUCAAAGUCCACCCCCAGUGACACCUCCUCUUUCAAGAAGGCCACACUUCCAGUCUUUCCCAAACAGUCAAUCAGCUGGGAACCCACAUUCAAGGGUAGGAGCCUGUGGGGGGACAUUCUCAUUAAGUCACCACAGUUAGGAUCCUGGGGUUUUAUUUGUUUUGGUUUUGAGGUGGAAUUUCAGUGUGUGGUUCUGACUGUCCUUGAAUUUACAGAGAUCUGCCUGCCUCUGUCUUCAGGUGCUGGGAUUAAAGGUGUGUUUGCCGCACCCAGCUCUGGGUUUUCUGUCUCUGUCUGGUAGUGUGUGAGUCCUUGGCAGAGUUGCCAAGCAUUCUCUUUUAAAGUUGACUUGCUUUAGUUUGCUACCUAGUUAACAGUGCAUCCAGUUAACUGCUUAGCGUCCAUUACGAGUACAUGAUGACCCUCUAAAAACCAGGAACUACAAACAUUUUAACCCUUUUUCCUAGGAACUUCUGAACGCGUAUCGUUGAGGCCUACAGCUUGAUGCCUUGGUAGAUGCACACACUGUACACUGAUCACUAUGACCUCUUACCUCUGCAUAGUUACUGUGUCAGGCUUCUCUAGAGGAGAAGGCACCACAGAAUGAAUAUAUAACAGUAAGAGACUUAGUAACCAGACUCGACCUGAGUAGCCCAACACUGACCGUCUGCACACUGGGGAAGUUGGGAACCCAGCACUGGCUGCUCAGGUCAUGAGUCAGUCCCCCUCCAUCACUGACGGCCUGGGGGAUUUCUGGAGAGCAGCUGGUCUCCAGUCUAUGUUCAAGCCAAAGAAUCCUGGCUCUAAUGUCAAUGAAGGAUCAUUGCAGCUCCAUUGCUGGCAAUAGGGUAGAAGCCAGCAAUAUACUUUGCAGCAAGGGCUCAAGUACUAGGAGAGCCACCACAACCACUACCACAAUCACAACAACGAUAUAAUAAAAGCCACUUGACAUUGCCAUCAGUAGUAUACAAGGCUCCUUUCCCUUAUCCAGUGCUUGUUUUUUUCCUCAAUCCCUCCUUAAUUUCCUUUCUCUGAUGACUGGAACCAUGAGCAGCAUCUUGUGCACUUCUGAGUCAUUUUAAUGUCUGGAUUCCCUUGAGAAGCAUCUACUUAGGACUUUGCUCAUCUUUAAAGUCAGGUUAUUUACAGUUUUGGUAUUCAGUAGCCUUAUAGAUUCCAUGCCAGAUGGUUAUACUUGAAUCUUCACUCCCCAAACAACCCUAAAAUACCAUGGAGUCAGGAAGAGCUGGCGUGUUAAGUCCCAGCACGUCUAAACACCUUGUCUAACAGAGCUGUCCUUGUGUUCUGAAACAGUGGGUGAUGUGGGAAUGGCAGCCAUUGAGUAGGUGGCAUGGGGCUUGGGUAUGGAUUUUCUCAGUAAGGGGUAAUAUUAUUGGAUACUAACAUUUUGAAAAGGAAACAAUAGACUGCUAAAUGUGAGUCCCUGCGAAAGAUGUGGAAAUCAUCUUCAUAGAAACUAGGAAGUUGGCCCUGAACUGGGUGAAGGAGACUCCAUGCCUAUUGUUCAUUCACAACUCCCAUCAUGCCUCUACCUUGAAUUCACAGAUAACCUCACCACUGUUAGUGUGACUGUGUGGUCAGCUGGUGUGCCUUAAGUAGCUAGCUGCAGCUGGUGCAGAGGUUUUUUUUUUAAUAUGAAGAACAACUAAAAGUGAUUGCUGAGUUUGGUAAAUCAUGGAAUGAAAUCAGAGCUAUAAUUCAGAAUGCUGGAUUUUAUUGCCCUUUGACCUCUGGUGGGAUUCUUAUCUCACGCAACCUCUGUGACCCCACAGGUUGUCCGCAUGCAGGGAUGUGCACUUUUUUGCUUCUGAGAACUAUUUUGAAGAUCGGGGAGAUGAGGGGUGAGGAGAUGCCCUGUAGACUAGUGCAUGGUAUGCACACUGAAGCUGCUUUCUGUGGUCAGGGACAGCCUGCAUCCCCAGGCUUCUGGAGAGGAGAAUGGCAGGACAACUGGACACAGAUAGGCAUACAGGAAAAUGGCAUCCAAACAUGAAGACAGAAGUUGGGUAGCACACCUGGAAGUCACAGGUGCAGGAGAUUGCUUGUGAACCACCAGAAGCUGGGAGGGACGCCUGGAACGGAUUCUCCUCUCAGCCCCCAGAAAGAACCAGCCUUGCCGACACCAUGACCUCAGAAUCGUCAGAACUGAGAGACAAGAAGUCUGCCAUGAAAACCUACUUUGUGUGCUUUGUACAGCCGUUCAGGCAAACCCUGUAGUUUACAACCCUCAGUUUCAAAGAUGGAUGCUAACUUCGGCCCUCAGUCUGGUUCUAGUUGAGAGGUCCAGACAAUUCUCAAGCUGCUGUAAUGGUUCAUUCCUGUGAUGCACAGAUUUACCAAACACUUGCUGUUCUUUUCUGCCUCUGCUGUAACAAUCCCCUACCCAGCCAAGAUUUCAGCUAUCCGAUGUCACCAUUCUUUCCUUUGAGUCCCUCGAGGCACUGUCCUCCCUUCCCUAUUAAUAUGAUCUGCCUUCCAUCGACGGAGGAUACUGUUUUAUACUCCCCCUCCCUACCCCCCCCCCCACAUCCUAUACAGUCCUGAUCAGCUUCCCAGGUAUUUGUUACAGGCAUCUCCCUCCACGCUCGAAGCCAACCCUUUCAGAGCACAUUGGAAUCUUUGUCUUACCAGUGUUCCUUUGCCAGCAGAGCACUUUGACUACAGUGAUGCCUGUUUCCUGUAUUGGCACUGAGGACCUGUUGUAAAGUGUCUGACUGGAUGAUGUAACUGUAUCUGAAAUGAGAUGUGGUGAUCAGGAGCUUGUGUCAGGAUGCCCAGUGGGAUGCUGGUCUCUCUGACUCAUCUUUUCGAGGACAUACGCCUCAGACAAAGAGACCAAGACAUAAAUGCUAAUAAAAGCUCAAGAAAUCCUCUCCAGGAAGGGGGAUGCCUUCCUGCUCACCGAGGCUCAUGUGCUUAGGAGGCUGUGGUGGCUGUGAGAUCACUGGCUGACCUGGGGCCAAGGGUUACUCCUCCCACCCACGGCUUCCAUAGCAGUGAUAGGCACUGACCUUUGAGUAAACCGCCCCGUGGAAACUGCGCCGUCACCAGUGACCCAGACUCCACCUAUGUUUUCAGAAGCAGAGGCCGGGGUUGUGGCUCAGGGAUCGUGUGUUUGCCUACAACGUCUGAGAGCCUGGGUCCCACCCUCAGCUCUGCCACCAGGUAAAUCUACAAGGCGUUCUGUCCGACAAACUGGAAAGCUGGGCUAUGUGGGCAGUCAUCCUGACUACCCGCUUCUGGCUUCCCUUUCUUUUAUGGGUCUUGUUUGUAUCUUUAAUAUUGUGGAGGCUUUUAAAAUAAAGAGUACUGAGUGUAGACUUGGCUACAA